CAGAGGGUGCAAGCGUUGUUCGGAAUUACUGGGCGUAAAGCGCGCGCAGGCGGGUCUUGCAAGUCAGAAGUGAAAUCUCAUUGCUCAACGAUGAGGCUGCUUUUGAUACUGCGGAUCUGGAGACCGGUAGAGGCUGGUAGAAUUGCAGGUGUAGCGGUGGAAUGCGUAGAGAUCUGCAAGAAUACCCGUGGCGAAGGCGGCCAGCUGGGCCGGUUCUGACGCUGAGGCGCGAAAGCGUGGGGAGCAAACAGGAUUAGAUACCCUGGUAGUCCACGCCGUAAACGAUGGGCACUAGGUGCUGGGGGGAGCGACCCCGUCAGUGCCGUAGCUAACGCGAUAAGUGCCCCGCCUGGGGAGUACGGCCGCAAGGCUG
RNAcentral lists this ribosomal RNA (373 nucleotides) under uncultured organism. RNAcentral's name for it is "bacterial SSU rRNA". It matches the Rfam family "Bacterial small subunit ribosomal RNA", at positions 526 to 896 of the family's 1533-position model. The record is from RNAcentral.